This 228-nucleotide ribosomal RNA is filed under the name uncultured bacterium. Its description in RNAcentral is "partial 16S ribosomal RNA". It matches the Rfam family "Bacterial small subunit ribosomal RNA", at positions 568 to 795 of the family's 1533-position model. The record is from RNAcentral.
UGCGCAGGCGGACUAUUAAGUCAGAGGUGAAAUCCCGGGGCUCAACCCCGGAACUGCCUUUGAUACUGGUAGUCUUGAAUACGGUUGAAGUAGGCGGAAUGUAGCAUGUAGCGGUGAAAUGCAUAGAGAUGCUACAGAACACCGAUCGCGAAGGCAGCUUACUAAACCGAUAUUGACGCUCAGGCACGAAAGCGUGGGGAGCGAACAGGAUUAGAUACCCUGGUAGUC